Molecule: ribosomal RNA, 348 nt
Filed under: Stenotrophomonas maltophilia
Lineage: Bacteria; Pseudomonadati; Pseudomonadota; Gammaproteobacteria; Lysobacterales; Lysobacteraceae
Description: bacterial SSU rRNA
Rfam family: Bacterial small subunit ribosomal RNA
Source: RNAcentral
AAGACUGAGACUCAAAGGAAUUGACGGGGGCCCGCACAAACGGUGGAGUAUGUGGUUUAAUUCGAUGCAACGCGAAGAACCUUACCUGGCCUUGACAUGUCAGAACUUUCCAGAGAUGGAUUGGUGCCUUCGGGAACUCGAACACAGGUGCUGCAUGGCUGUCGUCAGCUCGUGACGUGAGAUGUUGGGUUAAGUCCCGCAACGAGCGCAACCCUUGUCCUUAGUUGCCAGCACGUAAUGGUGGGAACUCUAAGGGAGACCGCCGGGUGACAAACCGGAGAAGGUGGGGAUGACGGUCAAGUCAUCAUGGCCCCUUACGGCCAGGGGCUACACACGUACUACAAUGGU